RNAcentral lists this ribosomal RNA (253 nucleotides) under uncultured bacterium. RNAcentral's name for it is "partial 16S ribosomal RNA". It matches the Rfam family "Bacterial small subunit ribosomal RNA", at positions 524 to 776 of the family's 1533-position model. The record is from RNAcentral.
UACGUAGGGCGCAAGCGUUGUCCGGAAUCAUUGGGCGUAAAGAGCUCGUAGGCGGCCUGUUGCGUCCGCUGUGAAAUCCCGGGGCUUAACCCCGGGCGUGCAGUGGAUACGGGCUGGCUGGAGGCAGGCAGGGGAGAACGGAAUUCCCGGUGUAGCGGUGAAAUGCGCAGAUAUCAGGAGGAACACCAAUUGCGAAGGCAGCUCGCUGGGACGUUACUGACGCUGAGACGCGAAAGCGUGGGGAGCAAACAGG